UGGGGAAUCUUGGACAAUGGGCGCAAGCCUGAUCCAGCCAUGCCGCGUGAGUGAAGAAGGCCUUCGGGUUGUAAAGCUCUUUUACCAGGGACGAUAAUGACGGUACCUGGAGAAUAAGCCCCGGCAAACUUCGUGCCAGCAGCCGCGGUAAUACGAAGGGGGCUAGCGUUGUUCGGAAUUACUGGGCGUAAAGCGCACGUAGGCGGAUUGUUAAGUCAGAGGUGAAAUCCCGGAGCUCAACUUCGGAACUGCCUUUGAUACUGGCAAUCUCGAGUCCGGAAGAGGUUAGUGGAAUUCCCAGUGUAGAGGUGAAAUUCGUAGAUAUCGGGAGGAACACCUGUGGCGAAGGCGGCCACCUGGUUGGAUACUGACGCUGAGACGCGAAAGCGUGGGGAGCAAACAGGAUUAGAUACCCCAGUAGUCCCUGAGCGGGCUGGCAAGGCGCAU
This 447-nucleotide ribosomal RNA is filed under the name uncultured bacterium. Its description in RNAcentral is "bacterial SSU rRNA". It matches the Rfam family "Bacterial small subunit ribosomal RNA", at positions 355 to 825 of the family's 1533-position model. The record is from RNAcentral.